ACCAGUGCCUAUGGGGUCGGGAAGGUCCCCCCGCGAGGUGGACUUCCGGUUCUGGAGGUAGUUUUGCAGCAGCAUCUUGCGCAGCUGGUUGCCCUGGGGGAGGAUGGGAGUGAGGCCCCAUUGUGGGUACAGCCCACCACUGACCACUGGCCUGACGGGCUUGACCCUGAGCCCCUGGGUACUCCUGACUGGCCCACCCAGCACUUGCCCCACCAGGGCACUCACCCGGUCCCCGUACUUGGUCUUCUUGAGCAGCAUCUGCUGCAGGGUCCGCAGCACCUUGAUGCACAGCUUCUCCUCCGACUCCAUGAGGUCCUUGGUGUGCUGGAUCAGCCUGAGCCGGCCAAGGAGGCAGCUCAGGGCAGCCCCACACUGCCUCCCUCCAGCUACUUCCCCACCCCAUCCCAGGCAGGAACACCCCCAGGCCCUCUGACCCAGUGAGCCUGUCUAGUCCCCACCGGGCCCUUCUCUGUCCCCUGCCGCUGCACCCCUGCUGCCCCCAUGCCCCAGUGUCUCGCUCACUUGGACAGGAAGCCCCCACUCUCGCAGCGCUGGUAGGCCUCACUGCCCUCCAGGAAGAGCAGCUCAGGCCAGUGCAGGACAUCCACCAGCACGGACAGCUCAGCCUGUACCAGGGGCUUCAGCCGCUCCUCCAGGGCUGUGAUGAUGUCCUGGGGUGGGCAGGGCAGAGUCAUUGCCAGGCCCAAGAAAUGACCCGGGUGUGACUGCCAUUCCUCCGACCCAAACGCCAAACAGCCCCACAGAUUGCCCUGCCUCUGUCUGAGGGGCCCACACCCACAGAGACACCCUGAACACAGCGUGAUGUCUGUCUGCUCAGAGCCCUGGCUGGGAGCUGCCAAGCCUGGCUUCUCUCCCAGCUCUGUGUGACCUUGGGCAAACCCCUUAGCCUCUCUGAGCCUCAGUCUCCUGCCACGUGGGGAAAAUAAUCCACCACACCCCCUCUACAGGCCAACGAGACAGCGCACAGAAAUGUGCUGCAUAGACAGGAGGGCGCUGCAGGAGUGAGGGGUGGUCCCGACCCCCUCAUGAGCUCCAACCCCACUAGCAGGCCUCUGGGUUCUCCAGGCUUCCUCUGGAAGGAGGUUCCCCAGUCCCUUGCUGCUGGGUCGGCCCUUAGCAGCCCCAGAGUGUAGAGAAGCCAACCAGCCCCUUCCUGGAAGUGUGGGCAGGACAGGAAGAAACACUCCCCGAGAACUUGCCCCUCCAAAGUAGGGGAGCUGCUGACUCAACCAAGCAGCUCCCGAGGCAGAUGCCAGGCAGCCCCACACCCACCUGCAGCUUCUCAAUGAUGUUCUUGUAGUCCCACUGGUUGGCGGUGGGGGUGACGCGGGGGAAGGCCCGCGUGGUUGCCUUGUAGCUGGAGGCGUUCCGCUGGGCGGCAGCUGCACAGCUGGCUCCACUGCUGAGCAUCGAGCUGAUGUGGGCAUCCAGGUCCAUGGGCAGCAAGAUGGCCCGGCCCUUGGCUGGGUGGGAAGGGAGGGAGUGCUGGAGUGCUGGUGCGGGGGCAGUUCAGCCAGCCAGAGGCCAGGCUCAGGGCUGCCACACCAGGAGACAGAGUGAACUAGACCAAGGGUCUGGGAGACAGAGACCCCCCCCACCCCGGCCUAUGCUUGAGGGACUGAGAGGCUUUCUUCCCCUUGUUGGGUAAAAGGAGUUUCUGCCUCUUUGAUUCCCCCCGGCUCUACCCUGACUUCCCCUUCCUCUCUCUCACCUGUCCUCUCUUCUUCCCCAACUGUCCCUAACAAUCCACAGGCCUGCUCCUGCCUGAGCCCAUCUGCAAAUACCCAUAAAAAACUAGCUGGAGAAUGUCGGCGAGCAUCCUUCUCUGGGGAACUGACCCAGAGGAGAAAACAGCUUCUCUCAAUUGCCAGGAUGAGGCAGACGCCAAGAAGAACUUACUGACAACCACCUGGGAGCAGGAGAUGGGCGAGCUUAGGGAUAAAGUGUUUAUUAGGAGGGCAGGCGUCCCCACUGUGAGCGGCAGGAGGAGUGGUUUGGGGCUGGCCAGUGCCCCGGCACACUCACCCACCAUGGCGAGGGUCCGGAUGCAGGCCUCCACGGAGCCCUUGUGCUGCUGCUGUAGCCACGGACACUCGAGGAGGCGUGUGGUAGACUGCAGCAGCUGCACCACAAUCGUCUGGUGUGUCUGCAAGAAGUCACAGAGCCCGCUGCUGCAGCCCAGGCCCCCACCCUGGGCAACCCCAGGUCCAGGAACCAGGGCCCAAUCAGAAUGGGCAUGGGUGGAGAGACGGAGCCUUCACUAGCCACCAUGUGCCUCUGUGCCAGUUGGAAAAAGCUAGGCAAGUCGGCCCUGGGGUGGUGGGAGAGGAGAAGCUCACCUGCAGGGAAGUGCUGUUCUCAGAGAAUGGGGAGCUGAAGAAGGCGUUGAUGGUGUCCAGCACAACGCUCAGCACGUACUUCUCCAAGGUGGGGUCAGCCACGCGCUUCUCACGCUUGCUGCAGACCUGAGGCAGGAGAGAGGGAUGGCUGGGGGCUCCUCACAUGGGGCCCCUCCACUCCCACACCUCCUGGGGGGCUUCACCCACACCCCUCACAGGGACAGACCCGGGCCAUGUCCAGGGUGAAGUUCUCAAAGAGCGUCCAGAUGUGGUUGCUGGUGUAGAUCUCCUUCAUCUCCACCUCCGUGUCCACGUAGCAGUGGUUCACGAAGUUCACAUAGGCCAUUUUCACCUGGGCAGUGGGCGGGAGGUCAGGGGCGCAAGCAGGGCCGCCUGGCCAGGCUCUCCCUGCCACAAUGCUCCUGUCCCCUGGCCUCCGGUUCCUGCCCACUUCCCUGGCUUUGCUUCACCCACUCUUCCUGUCCCGUGGCUUUACCCACCCCUUCGCCCCAUCUCCAGCCGUCUUGCCCAGUCUCCCGAUCCCCACCUCAGUGAUGCAGUCCUCAUGCGUCACCACAGACACCACGUCCUCCAGCGGCAGCAGGGAGGUGCACUUGAUCUCAGUGUAGACGUUUUUGCCCUCGGCACAGGCGGCCAGCAGGUCCACCAGGGAAAUGUGGUACAUGAGGGGGCUGUGGUCCUCCACGCCGUCGCGGGCGGCCUUCAUCAUGUCCAGCAGGUGGGCCAGCGAUGCCUUAUCAUUGUAGAACACGACCACAUCGUCACCUGCAUUGGUCAGCUGCGGGUGGGAGGGGGCACGUGUCACACUCUCUCGGUCCAGCAAGCCCUGGGCUCUCCUCUCCGUUGCUUACCAGGGAGAAACUGGGACUCUGACCACAGCCCUUACCUGAAAUCAGGAAAACCCUCCCCUGGCUGGGAUUUGGGGGUUCCCCAGCUGAUGUCUCAGGCCCUCUGCCAGCAGAGAUAUUGACCCCAUGACCCAGAAAGUCCCCGCUUCUCCCCACUGGAAAGAAGUCCCAUAGGGGUCAUCUCAGAGGCAGCUUCCUCCAGGAAGCCUCGCUAAUCCCGCCUUGCUCACCCCCUCCCUCCCCUGUGCUCCCGCAGCAGUUACUUAAACCCUCCUCACUGAGCACACACCUCUCGUGCCAGCGACUGCAUUAUUCGCAGUAAUAUAAUAAUAGAAAUUAAUAAAACUAACACUGUACAGCAGUUCCAGCACAUCAUGUCUUGUUUAUGAUGUCCUAAUCUCCCUUCAGUGUUUGCUUCUUUCUCCCCCUGCCGCCUACACUGUCAGAUGCUCAGGGGCAGGGACCACGUCUGUUCCAGAUUUAGACUCAGCCCUGUAUCCUUCGUGCCUUCACUCAACAGGUGUCUGUUGAGAACCUACUAUGCGCCACACACUGGGGCCCUGGCGAUGCACACAAAGGAUGGGGUCCCUGCCCGUGCCCCCCAGGAGCUGACACUCAGCUGAUGUCCCCCAUGCAUGUACAGUCCGUGGCACGUAGCAGGUGCUUCCUGAUUUUAAAUAAACGACGACAAGUGAC
RNAcentral lists this long non-coding RNA (3925 nucleotides) under Homo sapiens (human). RNAcentral describes it as "non-protein coding lnc-UQCC2-1:1". Lineage: Eukaryota; Metazoa; Chordata; Mammalia; Primates; Hominidae. The record is from RNAcentral.